CCACAUGCUUGCCAGGCAAACAAUUUCAAUCAUUGCAAGACUAAUACGUAUUUAGUAAUCUCAUUCAGUCAUCAAAUCUUUUCAGUAUUAGGUUAGACACAUGAGACUGUUUUUUAUAAGUAAAUAUCUUUGGGAAACAGCAACAUUCUUUUUAGAAAUUGUGAUUUAUUAUUACUCUGAGGAAAGGAUUGAUUUCGCAGAAUCUUUUAUUUCUGGCAAGUGUCCAGCUCUAACUGCACUGUAGUGACUACAUUGCAGGGGCACUAAAUUCACCUGAAAAAAAAGUUCUGUGGUUUAAUUAAGUUUGCAUGUCCAAGUUGGAGUAGCAAUCGAUUCUAUGAUUUAAUUUUGAAAUUCUUCCAUAAAAUAAAUGGAAGCAUAAUUGAUUUCACCAGAUUAAUGGUUAUUAAUAUUUAGUCAAUAUAAUUAGGUGUACCUGGGCUAGAAAAUUCAAAGAAAAAUCUAUUGUAUUAAGAACUGCAGAUUCUAAAGAGCACAAAGAACCUCUGUGCUCGAGCCUCUUUGAUGUACAAGAAAACUGAGGCUGUUUUAUAAGUUGAUCAGUUUGUUUUCAUCUAUAAAUUUGAAUUCCUAAAAUAUGAAGGAUUGUUGGAGAGAGAUGUUUACCCAGUCUCUUCAUCCUUACUCCUUUCUUUGAAAGACUAUGAGUUACCCUCAAGUGUCCAUGAUACAUGCACCAGAAAUACACAAUCCAUGACUGAGAAGAAUAAUUCGAUUCAAGAAAAGAUGUCAGUGAUAUUUUGGUUUUGCGAACAAUAUAAUCAUAGAGCUUUUUCAGAAUAUUCUCUACCACUCUAAAAGCAAUGGUUGCAUGCACAAUCAGUAUUUUUAAACCCAUUCUCCUCCUUGGCGUAUUCCAAGGAGUAACAUCGUCCUGGGAUACUGUUGAAGAGCAGUCUUAAAACUUUUAGAAGCAGGAGAAUUUAUUAUGCUACCUUCUUUCCAAGUCACCCCGUCCGAAAAUGGAAGAGCAUCUUUGGCAUUUUUCACCAAGGUAAAAAUCAUGGUCCAUGUGCUCAGUAGGUAGGUCAUCCUCAGUACAUGUUUUUUUACCUUCUAGGUGGACAACCGCCACUCUAGGGAUCCAGUGGUAGGUAGGGAUUGAUCUUGAAGCUGCCCUUUACCUAUUUGCCCUUUACCUACUCACCCUUUACCUAUCAUUUAUCCUUCACCUGUUUACCAGGGGAGAGCCAGCACAUACCCACUCACUUGAAAGGAAUCUCUCCUCCCAACUUCCAAAGAGCAAAUCAUUCCCCACCCCAUAUUUUCUUUCUCUGUAUGCCAAGCAGCUUUUUUGAAAAAGGCUGAAACACUAGGUGUAUCAGUCAGGAUUAAGUUAUAUUUUGGCAACAAAUGUCCCCAAAAAAUCCAUGAGUUAACAAUCACAAGAGUUUUAUGUCUCAAUCAUAUCACAUGCCCAUCUUGGGCUGGCUGUAUCUCUGCCUUAUAUCAUAUUCACUCCAGGGCCGUGGUGGAUAAAAUAGAAGCCUCUAGCUAGAAUUUUGUGGGUCAUUGAGACAGAGGAAAAAGAAAAAAAAAGAUGGCUCUUAAAGAUUUUGCUUUGAAGUGAUGCAAGGCAAUUACACUCAUAUUUCAUCGUUAGAGCAAGUCACAUGGCCAAGUUGUUAUUCAAUUAUUCAGGAAAAUAUAAAGCUAUUCCUGAAAAGGGCAGCAAAUAUUUGUGAAUUGUAAUACCAUCAUCUACAUCAGGGAGCAAAAACAGUAGGAGGCAGUUUCAGAUUCAUAAGAAGUAUUACAAAAGGGAUCUACCUUUCUUAAGGAGAAAGUGGGGGAAGGGGCUGAACAUACAUGUUGGUGACCAGAAAAAUGCUAAAUGUAGAGUGGUGAGAUGUACCUUUUUAAAAGCAUACAAUUUACUAACCAGCCUUAGACUUAUAGUAGAUGAAUAAAUAGAAAAAUAGAUGGAUAAAUAGCUAGGUGGAUAAAUAGCUAGGUAGAUAAUGGAGGAAUAAAUGGAUAGAUAGAUGAUAGAGAGUAGAGAUAGAUGAUAGGUAGGUAGGUAGAUAGAGAUAAACACUCAAACACUCAUACAAAUUUAAACAUAAAAUAUAAAACUCUACAUGUUAUUUUAGAUUAAAGUUGUUCAUUUAAUUUUUUAACUAAAUUCACAGGCAUUAUGCUCUUAAGUUCAUACUUUUAAAACAGAAGUUUUGAUAUAAAUGUUAUUUUAUUAUCUACUUGAGUUGAACAUGUAAAUAUAGAGUUUUCUAUCAUUUUGGAAUAACGUUUUGCAUUUCUCUGGAAUCUACUUAGCUGCAAAUUUACAAUAAGAUUUUUAUAAUGCUACUUUUUUUUACAGUUUGUAUUUCCACUUUGAAUCAUUGUUUUCUUUUCAUCUUGAGUGAUGCCAUUCAGUUACUUGAUUCGACGUGGGUAUUGACUCUCCUAAAUUUCAGAAAUUCAGAUUCCUGCAGAAUAAGCAUGCAAUUGGCUCAUCCGACAUAUCCAGUGAGAUUAUCCUUGAUUGGCAGAAUGCUAGUUCCACACUUCCUACAAGAACACUGGCUACUCUACAGAUACUCUCUAUAUUCUGGGAAAAGAUUUCAGGAUCAUAUAAUAUAAAAAAUGGCAAUACCACAAGAGACAAACCAAGGCUGAGGGACUCAUCUUGAUGAAGACAAAAAAAGACAUGACAACUAAAUAAGAUUUAUGAUUCCAAAUUGGAUCCUGAGCCAGAAAAAAAAAAUGCCAUAUUGGGCCUACCAGUAAAAAUGUAAAAGAACUACAGGUUAGAUAAUAGUAUUGUAUUGAUGUUAAGUUUCCUAAUUUUGAAGAUUGUACAAAAGUCAUGUAAGAGUAUGCCCUUUUCUAUUAGGAAAUGCACUGUGAUGGUUAAUAUUGAAUGUCAACUUCAUUGGAUUGAAGGAUGCAAAGUAUUGUUCCUG
Molecule: long non-coding RNA, 2927 nt
Filed under: Homo sapiens (human)
Lineage: Eukaryota; Metazoa; Chordata; Mammalia; Primates; Hominidae
Description: HSALNT0337600
Source: RNAcentral